UUCGCCCUUAGAGUUUGAUCCUGGCUCAGAGCGAACGCUGGCGGCAGGCUUAACACAUGCAAGUCGAACGGGCUUCUUCGGAAGUCAGUGGCAGACGGGUGAGUAACACGUGGGAACGUGCCCUUCGGUUCGGAAUAACUCAGGGAAACUUGAGCUAAUACCGGAUACGCCCUUACGGGGAAAGGUUUACUGCCGAAGGAUCGGCCCGCGUCUGAUUAGCUUGUUGGUGGGGUAACGGCCUACCAAGGCGACGAUCAGUAGCUGGUCUGAGAGGAUGAUCAGCCACACUGGGACUGAGACACGGCCCAGACUCCUACGGGAGGCAGCAGAAGGG
RNAcentral lists this ribosomal RNA (334 nucleotides) under uncultured Methylobacterium sp. RNAcentral's name for it is "bacterial SSU rRNA". It matches the Rfam family "Bacterial small subunit ribosomal RNA", at positions 1 to 359 of the family's 1533-position model. Lineage: Bacteria; Pseudomonadati; Pseudomonadota; Alphaproteobacteria; Hyphomicrobiales; Methylobacteriaceae. The record is from RNAcentral.